Long non-coding RNA from Myodes glareolus (Bank vole), 262 nucleotides. RefSeq lists it as uncharacterized. NCBI's taxonomy places the organism in Eukaryota, Metazoa, Chordata, Mammalia, Rodentia, Cricetidae. The record is from RefSeq and is a predicted model, not a curated record.
GCUGCCCUGGACCUCAACACUAUGGUACUUCCCUGGGAAGUCUGUGUGGAUUUCUCCACACAGGUCGGCCUCCCUUAGAGUUACUCUGACCUCAGACAUCCCGCUAAGCCUUCGUCCAUUUUGUAAUGAUGUGUCUAUUGGUAUUAUCUGAGUUUGGUUCUCAGCGCACACAUCAGGCACUUCAUGAAAGCCUGUAACUCCAGAGGAUCCAAUGCCUUUACCCGCCCCCACCACAUGUAAAUAAAUGGUAAAUCUUUUUAAA